Molecule: long non-coding RNA, 287 nt
Filed under: Zostera marina
Lineage: Eukaryota; Viridiplantae; Streptophyta; Magnoliopsida; Alismatales; Zosteraceae
Description: long non-coding RNA (ZMAR_LNC004260)
Source: RNAcentral
AGAGUUCUUUAAUUUCCCAUGUACUGACAUGACUUGUUAGAUUUAACAAGUAAUGAGAUUUUGAAACUAUCAUCUAAGAGCUAGCUAGGAUCUUAGCAAGGCUUGUAUUUUAGUGGCUUGUAACCAGAAUAAUAUUUAAUUUAAAACAUACCUUUUGGUGGUCUUCAAUGCAUUCUUUGCACUAUGCACGAUAGUCCAUGCUCCUAGCUGUCGUGAGUGACUAGUUGUGACAGGUUUGCUAGAUGAAGUUGCAGCAUCGAUGUUGUAGAAUGUGCAGAAGACGAUUC